Molecule: long non-coding RNA, 519 nt
Filed under: Helianthus annuus (common sunflower)
Lineage: Eukaryota; Viridiplantae; Streptophyta; Magnoliopsida; Asterales; Asteraceae
Description: sRNA HanXRQr2_Chr17g0790401
Source: RNAcentral
AUGUAGAGAUUUGUAAUGGAGUAUGGGAAUAAUAUUCAAGAUUCAAUACAAUUUCCACAUUAGUCAGAUUAGUUUUUAUCACGUUAUCAGCACGACUAGACUCUUCACUACGAUUUGGCCGAUAAUCUACAAGCAAUCACAAGGAAUCGGUGUUUCAUAUCCCUGACAACAUCACCGAUUCGUUGCUUCGAUAUUCACAACAUUUUCUGUUCAUCACACCAGAGAUUUCUUUGGUAUAAUGAAGAAAUAUGUAUACCAGCUCCAGCAGAGCUAUUAUUGGUGAUGAAUGUCUGGUAGACAGCGGUAGUACUAACACUAUUCUCAAAGACAUGAAAUUUUUCUCUGAGUUGUCUCCGGCAGAGACACCGAUUAGUACUAUAUCUGGUGUCAGUAACCUUAUCGAAGGCUCCGGAAGAGCACACAUAACAUUAUCUUCGGGUACCCAAUUAACAAUUGAUAAUGCAUUAUAUUCUAGUAAAUCCAGAAGAAAUUUACUUAGCUUUAAAGAUAUUCGAAAAA